UCCAAUAGACGGUGUUAACUGGUACUAUCUUCUGGUCAUCUACAGUCUACAUCUACAGCCAUCUCCUGACGUAACAGCUGUGCAGAGAGGCACUGUCUUUCUGGAACGUAUCAUCCAAGGAAAGGCUUCCGUGCUCUGGGCUUGAAGGGAUAGAUUUUGAGGGAUAAGUGCAGCUAUUGGCAUCAAAUACCGAAGGGAGCAAUUCACCACGGGGCCAGUGGCUCUCUGGAGAGAAGACAACUUGGAUUAGAACCUAGCCUCGGGCUGCUUGGGUAUGAUAUGGAGAGGAGCUCACUUAAUAAAGUGGUUGCCAUGGAAAUGAGAGGACCCAAACUUUGUUCUCCAGCACCCAUAGAAGCAGCCAGAGGUGGGCGUGCAUUUAUGGGAGGCUGAGACAGACGGCUGUCUCACCGAUGAGCCGGAUGAGCCCUUCUUCAAAAGAUAAGGUGAUGGGACACGUCUGCUAAUACUGACUCAUCACAACUGUCAUUAAUCGAGCUUGAGACCUGUUCCCCUCUGAGGUGCUCAGCGCGUCGUCAAACCAGUUUUUUACUCGGAAAGACAGAUGGCAUCAACGUGAAAGAUGUCUUCUAAGUCCCAUCACCACCUGGGUGAAGGAUGUUUGAAAGACGCUACAUCCUGCAUUGGGGGGCAGGCAGGCAGCCACAGCGAGGCUGUGAGGGUGGUGAGGCUGUGAGGUGACCAGUCCUGCUGGCAGAGCCUCUGGGGAUGAUGGGGGAGGGGGUCAGAGACACCCCCUGCAGAGCAAAUGGAGAAGAGAAACCAUCCGUGAGGGGAGGCAGGAGCUCAGAGCCGGCGGCAGUUGGGAACAAGUCUGUUUUUUAUGGAGCUCGCAAACCUGAACUCGAAUAUUAAAAAUGCUUUCAUCAGUCCCCUUAA
Long non-coding RNA from Rattus norvegicus (Norway rat), 900 nucleotides. RefSeq lists it as uncharacterized. NCBI's taxonomy places the organism in Eukaryota, Metazoa, Chordata, Mammalia, Rodentia, Muridae. The record is from RefSeq and is a predicted model, not a curated record.